RNAcentral lists this ribosomal RNA (497 nucleotides) under uncultured bacterium. Its description in RNAcentral is "partial 16S ribosomal RNA". It matches the Rfam family "Bacterial small subunit ribosomal RNA", at positions 28 to 507 of the family's 1533-position model. The record is from RNAcentral.
GAUGAACGCUGGCGGUGUGCCUAAUACAUGCAAGUCGAGCGAACAGACGAGGAGCUUACUCCUCUGACGUUAGCGGCGGACGGGUGAGUAACACGUGGAUAACCUACCUAUAAGACUGGGAUAACUUCGGGAAACCGGAGCUAAUACCGGAUAACAUGUUGAACCGCAUGGUUCAACAGUGAAAGACGGUCUUGCUGUCACUUAUAGAUGGAUCCGCGUCGCAUUAGCUAGUUGGUAAGGUAACGGCUUACCAAGGCAACGAUGCGUAGCCGACCUGAGAGGGUGAUCGACCACACUGGAACUGAGACACGGUCCAGACUCCUACGGGAGGCAGCAGUAGGGAAUCUUCCGCAAUGGGCGAAAGCCUGACGGAGCAACGCCGCGUGAGUGAAGAAGGUCUUCGGAUCGUAAAACUCUGUUAUUAGGGAAGAACAAAUGUGUAAGUAACUAUGCACGUCUUGACGGUACCUAAUCAGAAAGCCACGGCUAACUACGUG